This 2922-nucleotide ribosomal RNA is filed under the name Klebsiella pneumoniae. RNAcentral's name for it is "bacterial LSU rRNA". It matches the Rfam family "Bacterial large subunit ribosomal RNA". Lineage: Bacteria; Pseudomonadati; Pseudomonadota; Gammaproteobacteria; Enterobacterales; Enterobacteriaceae. The record is from RNAcentral.
GGGUUGUGAGGUUAAGCGACUAAGCGUACACGGUGGAUGCCCUGGCAGUCAGAGGCGAUGAAGGACGUGCUAAUCUGCGAAAAGCGUCGGUAAGGUGAUAUGAACCGUUAUAACCGGCGAUGUCCGAAUGGGGAAACCCAGUGCAAUUCGUUGCACUAUCGUUAACUGAAUACAUAGGUUAACGAGGCGAACCGGGGGAACUGAAACAUCUAAGUACCCCGAGGAAAAAAAAUCAACCGAGAUUCCCCCAGUAGCGGCGAGCGAACGGGGAGCAGCCCAGAGUCUGAAUCAGCUUGUGUGUUAGUGGAACGGUCUGGAAAGUCCGACGGUACAGGGUGAUAGUCCCGUACACCAAAAUGCACAGGCUGUGAACUCGAAGAGUAGGGCGGGACACGUGGUAUCCUGUCUGAAUAUGGGGGGACCAUCCUCCAAGGCUAAAUACUCCUGACUGACCGAUAGUGAACCAGUACCGUGAGGGAAAGGCGAAAAGAACCCCGGCGAGGGGAGUGAAAAAGAACCUGAAACCGUGUACGUACAAGCAGUGGGAGCACCUUCGGGUGUGACUGCGUACCUUUUGUAUAAUGGGUCAGCGACUUAUAUUCUGUAGCAAGGUUAACCGUAUAGGGGAGCCGCAGGGAAACCGAGUCUUAACUGGGCGUUAAGUUGCAGGGUAUAGACCCGAAACCCGGUGAUCUAGCCAUGGGCAGGUUGAAGGUUGGGUAACACUAACUGGAGGACCGAACCGACUAAUGUUGAAAAAUUAGCGGAUGACUUGUGGCUGGGGGUGAAAGGCCAAUCAAACCGGGAGAUAGCUGGUUCUCCCCGAAAGCUAUUUAGGUAGCGCCUCGUGAACUCAUCUUCGGGGGUAGAGCACUGUUUCGGCUAGGGGGUCAUCCCGACUUACCAACCCGAUGCAAACUACGAAUACCGAAGAAUGUUAUCACGGGAGACACACGGCGGGUGCUAACGUCCGUCGUGAAGAGGGAAACAACCCAGACCGCCAGCUAAGGUCCCAAAGUCAUGGUUAAGUGGGAAACGAUGUGGGAAGGCACAGACAGCCAGGAUGUUGGCUUAGAAGCAGCCAUCAUUUAAAGAAAGCGUAAUAGCUCACUGGUCGAGUCGGCCUGCGCGGAAGAUGUAACGGGGCUAAACCAUGCACCGAAGCUGCGGCAGCGACACUAUGUGUUGUUGGGUAGGGGAGCGUUCUGUAAGCCUGCGAAGGUGUGCUGUGAGGCAUGCUGGAGGUAUCAGAAGUGCGAAUGCUGACAUAAGUAACGAUAAAGCGGGUGAAAAGCCCGCUCGCCGGAAGACCAAGGGUUCCUGUCCAACGUUAAUCGGGGCAGGGUGAGUCGACCCCUAAGGCGAGGCCGAAAGGCGUAGUCGAUGGGAAACAGGUUAAUAUUCCUGUACUUGGUGUUACUGCGAAGGGGGGACGGAGAAGGCUAUGUUAGCCGGGCGACGGUUGUCCCGGUUUAAGCAUGUAGGCUGGUUAUCCAGGCAAAUCCGGAUAAUCAAGGCUGAGGUGUGAUGACGAGGCACUACGGUGCUGAAGUAACAAAUGCCCUGCUUCCAGGAAAAGCCUCUAAGCAUCAGGUAACAUCAAAUCGUACCCCAAACCGACACAGGUGGUCAGGUAGAGAAUACCAAGGCGCUUGAGAGAACUCGGGUGAAGGAACUAGGCAAAAUGGUGCCGUAACUUCGGGAGAAGGCACGCUGGUGUGUAGGUGAAGUCCCUGCGGAUGGAGCUGAGACCAGUCGAAGAUACCAGCUGGCUGCAACUGUUUAUUAAAAACACAGCACUGUGCAAACACGAAAGUGGACGUAUACGGUGUGACGCCUGCCCGGUGCCGGAAGGUUAAUUGAUGGGGUUAUCCGUAAGGAGAAGCUCUUGAUCGAAGCCCCGGUAAACGGCGGCCGUAACUAUAACGGUCCUAAGGUAGCGAAAUUCCUUGUCGGGUAAGUUCCGACCUGCACGAAUGGCGUAAUGAUGGCCAGGCUGUCUCCACCCGAGACUCAGUGAAAUUGAACUCGCUGUGAAGAUGCAGUGUACCCGCGGCAAGACGGAAAGACCCCGUGAACCUUUACUAUAGCUUGACACUGAACAUUGAGCCUUGAUGUGUAGGAUAGGUGGGAGGCUUUGAAGCGUGGACGCCAGUCUGCGUGGAGCCAACCUUGAAAUACCACCCUUUAAUGUUUGAUGUUCUAACGUUGGCCCUUACCGGGGUUGCGGACAGUGUCUGGUGGGUAGUUUGACUGGGGCGGUCUCCUCCCAAAGCGUAACGGAGGAGCACGAAGGUUAGCUAAUCCUGGUCGGACAUCAGGAGGUUAGUGCAAUGGCAUAAGCUAGCUUGACUGCGAGCGUGACGGCGCGAGCAGGUGCGAAAGCAGGUCAUAGUGAUCCGGUGGUUCUGAAUGGAAGGGCCAUCGCUCAACGGAUAAAAGGUACUCCGGGGAUAACAGGCUGAUACCGCCCAAGAGUUCAUAUCGACGGCGGUGUUUGGCACCUCGAUGUCGGCUCAUCACAUCCUGGGGCUGAAGUAGGUCCCAAGGGUAUGGCUGUUCGCCAUUUAAAGUGGUACGCGAGCUGGGUUUAGAACGUCGUGAGACAGUUCGGUCCCUAUCUGCCGUGGGCGCUGGAGAAUUGAGGGGGGCUGCUCCUAGUACGAGAGGACCGGAGUGGACGCAUCACUGGUGUUCGGGUUGUCAUGCCAAUGGCACUGCCCGGUAGCUAAAUGCGGAAGAGAUAAGUGCUGAAAGCAUCUAAGCACGAAACUUGCCCCGAGAUGAGUUCUCCCUGAGACUUUAAGUCUCCUGAAGGAACGUUGAAGACGACGACGUUGAUAGGCCGGGUGUGUAAGCGCAGCGAUGCGUUGAGCUAACCGGUACUAAUGAACCGUGAGGCUUAACCUUACAACGCCGAAG